AUGCGGUCCUGGUGUCUGUGCCGGAGGGGGUCUCAGGCUGGUGGGCUGUUGCAGUGGAGUCUGCUGUUGGGGGGCCGCGCUGGGCUGUGGGGGAGCCUGCUGGGGCACCCUGUGUGCUGGGCAAAGCCUCCUGGCCCUCCUCAGGGCUCGGAGCAUCGGUCCCUGCCCCCGGAGCACCGAGUCUGGCUUCAGGGGGGGCCGACCGAGCGUCAGGAAGGCUGGGUCUGCUGCCAAGGGGUCUUGGCUGAACCCCUGCACCUCCUGCUUGGACCCCUGGAGGUGCUGGCUGUGUCCCUGGGAUGGUGGCCCCAGUGUGAGGAGACCCUGGUUGUGUCCCUGCAGUGGUGGCCUGGGUGCCAGGGGACCCUGGCUGUGUCCCUGAGACAACGGACACAGUGCCGGGGAACCCUGGUUGUGCCCCUGGGAUGGUGGUCUGGGUGUCUGGGGACCCUGGCUGUGUCCCUGAGACAGUGGCCCCAGUGCCAAGAGACCCUGGUUGUGACCCUGGGAUGGUGGCACGGGUUCCAGGGGACCCUGGCUGUGUCCCUGAGACGGUGGCCCCAGUGCCAAGAGACCCUGGUUGCGCCCCUGAGACACUGGUCUGGGUGCCUGGGGACCUUGGCUGUGUUCCUGCGAUGGUGGCCUGGGUGCCGGGAGAACCUGGCUGUGCCCCUGGGAUGGUGGUCUGGGUGCCCGGGGACCCUGGCUGUGCUCCAGGGACGGUGGCCUGGGUGCCAGGAGACCCUGGCUGUGCCCCUGGGAUGGUGGCCCCAGUGCCAGGGGACCCUGCUUGUGCCCCUGGGGUGCUGGCACCGGCGUCAGAAGCCCUUGUCCCAUCUGCGGGAGGGCCCGUCCAGGUGGCUGGUGCUCCCGGCAUCCCUGCUCGUGUCCCCAGGGAGUCAGGCUGCGUCCCUGGAGUCCCCCCUCUGGGGUUGGGCUGGAUCCCCGAGGCCUCAGCAGCCUCACCGAGGGGCUCGUCGGGGGAGGACCGGCCCAUUUUGGCCUCCUGGAAGCAAAAGGAAAAAGGCAGCAAGGUUACGGGCAGGCGCCAACCUCCAGCACCGGUGGCUG
Molecule: long non-coding RNA, 1071 nt
Filed under: Apteryx owenii (little spotted kiwi)
Lineage: Eukaryota; Metazoa; Chordata; Aves; Apterygiformes; Apterygidae
Description: lncRNA (ENSAOWG00000011802.1)
Source: RNAcentral